UACGUAGGGGGCAAGCGUUGUCCGGAUUUAUUGGGCGUAAAGAGCGUGUAGGCGGCCAAGCAGGUCCGCUGUGAAAACUCGAGGCUCAACCUCGAGACGUCGGUGGAAACCGUUUGGCUAGAGUCCGGAAGAGGAGAGUGGAAUUCCCGGUGUAGCGGUGAAAUGCGUAGAUAUUGGGAGGAACACCAGUGGCGAAGGCGGCUCACUGGACCGGUACUGACGCUGAUGCGCGAAAGCGUGGGGAGCAAACGGG
This 253-nucleotide ribosomal RNA is filed under the name uncultured bacterium. RNAcentral's name for it is "partial 16S ribosomal RNA". It matches the Rfam family "Bacterial small subunit ribosomal RNA", at positions 524 to 776 of the family's 1533-position model. The record is from RNAcentral.